UUUCCGUAGGUGAACCUGCGGAAGGAUCAUUAUUGUAUAACCGAGGUGCGAGGGCUGUCGCUGACCCGAAAGGUCGUGCACGCCCGAGUGCCCUCACACACAUCCAUCUCACCCCUAUGUGCACCACCGCGUGGGUCCCCCUUUGGCUUGUUCGGAGGGGGGCUUACGUUUUCACACAAACUUUGAAUGCAGUGUAGAAUGUAUUUUUUGUUUUUGCGAUCACGCAAUCAAUACAACUUUCAACAACGGAUCUCUUGGCUCUCGCAUCGAUGAGAACGCAGC
RNAcentral lists this unclassified non-coding RNA (282 nucleotides) under plant metagenome. Its description in RNAcentral is "partial contains small subunit ribosomal RNA, internal transcribed spacer 1, and 5.8S ribosomal RNA". The stretch from base 235 to 282 matches the Rfam family "5.8S ribosomal RNA", at positions 1 to 49 of the family's 154-position model. The record is from RNAcentral.